GUAUAACCCCAGGAUUCUGCACUUGCCCAAGGGCGAGGUGCAAAUCAAAAACUACGCACAACUGAACACCGAGAUCAGGAUCCCGACUCAGAUUGAAAAAGCAGAGGAUGGUCACUGCCUUCCAGGUCUGAGGCUGUCUCCCAGAAACUUCAUUCCUCGCUUCGCCUUGGUUCUCCAUCACUUUCUGAGUCCUACAGGAGGAAAGUGCUAUUGAAGAUGAGGCGCGUAUGGCGUGAAGUUCUGGGGCUGGGAGAAGCUGCCCCGCUACUUCCGGGUGGCCUUGCCUGCAGGGAGCAGUUUGUAUUCCCCGUUGUUUCUCCUGUUGACGACAUCUGUGCCUCUUAUCUGGGAGAAGAUCAGAGGAAACUGCCGCCUCCCCCAAGCACGUGUUUUACUGCUCCCCAUUUCACAACCUAGUGCUGUCCACUUGCAUGGGAUGUUUCUUUUCCAUCACAAUGCUCUGAGAUAACGAAGUCGAGGGAAGUUUGUGCAGCCCUCCAGACCCUCCAGAUUUCAAAGGAAAGCCCACCGCUGCUGGUCUGGGGGAGCUGAUGGCCUAUUCAUGGAUGAGAUGGACUAAGGACAGUGGGAAGCACAAUGGACCAACAGUAUUGUUGGAGGGGACUGCGUGAGGAAGCAGGAGCCUAAACAACACUCUCCAGAUACUGCGUGAA
RNAcentral lists this long non-coding RNA (674 nucleotides) under Homo sapiens (human). RNAcentral describes it as "HSALNT0334797". Lineage: Eukaryota; Metazoa; Chordata; Mammalia; Primates; Hominidae. The record is from RNAcentral.